AACGACUCUCGGCAACGGAUAUCUCGGCUCUCGCAUCGAUGAAGAACGUAGCGAAAUGCGAUACUUGGUGUGAAUUGCAGAAUCCCGUGAACCAUCGAGUCUUUGAACGCAAGUUGCGCCCGAAGCCUUCGGGCCGAGGGCACGCCUGCCUGGGCGUCACGCAUCGCGUCGCCCCCCAC
This 179-nucleotide ribosomal RNA is filed under the name Ruellia pringlei. RNAcentral describes it as "5.8S ribosomal RNA". The stretch from base 4 to 159 matches the Rfam family "5.8S ribosomal RNA". From Rfam's summary of the family: 5.8S ribosomal RNA (5.8S rRNA) is a component of the large subunit of the eukaryotic ribosome. It is transcribed by RNA polymerase I as part of the 45S precursor that also contains 18S and 28S rRNA. Functionally, it is thought that 5.8S rRNA may be involved in ribosome translocation. Lineage: Eukaryota; Viridiplantae; Streptophyta; Magnoliopsida; Lamiales; Acanthaceae. The record is from RNAcentral.